GACGAACGCUGGCGGCGUGCUUAACACAUGCAAGUCGAACGAUGAAACCGCUUCGGUGGUGGAUUAGUGGCGAACGGGUGAGUAACACGUGGGCAAUCUGCCCUUCACUCUGGGACAAGCCCUGGAAACGGGGUCUAAUACCGGAUAACACUCUGUCCCGCAUGGGACGGGGUUGAAAGCUCCGGCGGUGAAGGAUGAGCCCGCGGCCUAUCAGCUUGUUGGUGGGGUAAUGGCCUACCAAGGCGACGACGGGUAGCCGGCCUGAGAGGGCGACCGGCCACACUGGGACUGGGACACGGCCCAGACUCCUACGGGAGGCAGCAGUGGGGAAUAUUGCACAAUGGGCGAAAGCCUGGUGCAGCGACGCCGCGUGAGGGAUGACGGCCUUCGGGUUGUAAACCUCUUUCAGCAGGGAAGAAGCGAAAGUGACGGUACCUGCAGAAGAAGCGCCGGCUAACUACGUGCCAGCAGCCGCGGUAA
RNAcentral lists this ribosomal RNA (480 nucleotides) under uncultured bacterium. RNAcentral's name for it is "partial 16S ribosomal RNA". It matches the Rfam family "Bacterial small subunit ribosomal RNA", at positions 28 to 523 of the family's 1533-position model. The record is from RNAcentral.